Molecule: long non-coding RNA, 227 nt
Filed under: Ananas comosus (pineapple)
Lineage: Eukaryota; Viridiplantae; Streptophyta; Magnoliopsida; Poales; Bromeliaceae
Description: long non-coding RNA (ACOM_LNC041079)
Source: RNAcentral
AAAGCGAAACAACAAAUUUUCGAACUUAAACCUCGAGUACUAAUCAUUAAGCUAACUUUUCAACUUGAACCUCAAGUACUAAUCAUUAAAUACUUUGCUAUUUAUACUAGAGGCAGUCAAUAACAUAAAAUUAUUUUUAAAAGAAAAUAAAAAAAUGAUGGCAUAAAGAGAAGGAGAAAUUUCAAAAGAGAUGUAAAAGAAAGAGACAAAAUAUUUAUUAAAUGAGG